UAAAUACGACUACAAAUUCAA
This 21-nucleotide non-coding RNA is filed under the name Caenorhabditis elegans. The record is from RNAcentral. Lineage: Eukaryota; Metazoa; Nematoda; Chromadorea; Rhabditida; Rhabditidae.